Molecule: ribosomal RNA, 383 nt
Filed under: uncultured marine Chaetocerotaceae
Lineage: Eukaryota; Bacillariophyta; Thalassiosirophyceae; Chaetocerotales; Chaetocerotaceae
Description: SSU rRNA
Rfam family: Eukaryotic small subunit ribosomal RNA
Source: RNAcentral
AGCUCCAAAAGUGUAUAUUAAAGUUGUUGCAGUUAAAAAGCUCGUAGUUGCGUUUCUGUUGGGAGGGAUCGUUCCAUGCCUCUGGCUUGGAUUCGUAUCGUCUCCUGACAUCCUUGGGUGGAGCCAUUCUGGCAUUAAGUUGUCGGGGUGGGGAUGCCCAUCAUUUACUGUGAAAAAAUUAGAGUGUUCAAAGCAGGCUUAUGCCGUUGAAUAUAUUAGCAUGGGAUAAUAAGAUAGGACUUUGGUACUAUUUUGUUGGUUUGCGCACCAGAGUAAUGACGAAUAGGGACAGUUGGGGGUAUUCGUAUUCAGUUGUCAGAGGUGAAAUUCUUAGAUUUAUUGAAGACGAACUACUGCGAAAGCAUUUACCAAGGAUGUUUUCA